CCGGAAACGUUUGGAGACAGGCGCCCCCUUGUGGUCGGUGUCCAGGUGGUCCAUGGCUGUCGUCAGCUCGUGUCGUGAGAUGUUGGGUUAAGUCCCGCAACGAGCGCAACCCUUGUCCCGUGUUGCCAGCAGGCCCUUGGGGUGAUGGGGACUCACGGGAGACCGCCGGGGUCAACUCGGAGGAAGGUGGGGACGACGUCAAGUCAUCAUGCCCCUUAUGUCUUGGGCUGCACACGUGCUACAAUGGCCGGUACAAUGAGCUGCGAUACCGCGAGGUGGAGCGAAUCUCAAAAAGCCGGUCUCAGUUCGGAUUGGGGUCUGCAACUCGACCCCAUGAAGUCGGAGUCGCUAGUAAUCGCAGAUCAGCAUUGCUGCGGUGAAUACGUUCCCGGGCCUUGUACACACCGCCCGUCACGUCACGAAAGUCGGUAACACCCGAAGCCGGUGGCCCAACCCCUUGUGGGAGGGAGCU
RNAcentral lists this ribosomal RNA (472 nucleotides) under Streptomyces sp. RNAcentral's name for it is "bacterial SSU rRNA". It matches the Rfam family "Bacterial small subunit ribosomal RNA", at positions 990 to 1454 of the family's 1533-position model. The record is from RNAcentral. Lineage: Bacteria; Bacillati; Actinomycetota; Actinomycetes; Kitasatosporales; Streptomycetaceae.